RNAcentral lists this transfer-messenger RNA (371 nucleotides) under Mycoplasma nasistruthionis. RNAcentral's name for it is "Mycoplasma sp. Ms03 transfer-messenger RNA". It matches the Rfam family "transfer-messenger RNA". From Rfam's summary of the family: Bacterial tmRNA, also known as 10Sa RNA or SsrA, is named for its dual tRNA and mRNA-like properties. Its role is to liberate the mRNA from a stalled ribosome. Lineage: Bacteria; Bacillati; Mycoplasmatota; Mollicutes; Mycoplasmatales; Mycoplasmataceae. RNAcentral also lists the same sequence under 1 other name. The record is from Rfam by way of RNAcentral.
GGGGAUAUAAUGGUUUCGACAGGCUUCGGGCUAAUGUAAUGGCAGUAGUGUGGUAGACUAUAAAUACCACUAGGCUUUUCUAAACGGAAAACAACAAAAAUCAGUUUCAUCAAACUUAUACAUGAUGAACAACUUUUCAAACCUAGCUUUUGUUUAAUAUAACAAUCUAGUGGAUUAAUUGAUUUUCCUAGAUUAAUUAAUUCGGUAUUUUAGGAUAGUUUAAGUGUUGACAAACUUAAAUGAAAUGAGUCAAACAUUGAUUUGUUUUUUGUUUAUUUUAGAUAAUUAGUGUUAACAAAAAUAAACUAAACUGUAGAAGUUGCAUUAAUCUCGUUGCGUGGACAGGGGUUCGAUUCCCCUUAUCUCCACCA